GAUUAAGCCAUGCAUGUGUAAGUAUAAAUAAUUUUACUUUGAAACUGCGAAUGGCUCAUUAUAUCAGUUAUAGUUUAUUUGAUGAAGAAUACUAAUUGGAUAACCGUAGUAAUUCUAGAGCUAAUACAUGUAUAAAGUCUUGUAGACUGCAUUUAUUAGAAUGAAAACCAUAGGUUUCGGCCUAUUCGUGAGUAAUAAUAACUAAUCAUAUCGUAUGCUUAUGUAACGAUGUGUCUUUCAAGUUUCUGCCCUAUCAGCUUUCGAUGGUAGUGUAUUGGACUACCAUG
RNAcentral lists this ribosomal RNA (287 nucleotides) under Blastocystis sp. subtype 3. RNAcentral's name for it is "partial small subunit ribosomal RNA". It matches the Rfam family "Eukaryotic small subunit ribosomal RNA", at positions 42 to 348 of the family's 1831-position model. Lineage: Eukaryota; Bigyra; Opalinata; Blastocystidae. The record is from RNAcentral.